RNAcentral lists this ribosomal RNA (253 nucleotides) under uncultured bacterium. Its description in RNAcentral is "partial 16S ribosomal RNA". It matches the Rfam family "Bacterial small subunit ribosomal RNA", at positions 524 to 776 of the family's 1533-position model. The record is from RNAcentral.
UACGAGGGGUGCAAGCGUUGCUCGGAAUUAUUGGGCGUAAAGGGUAGGUAGGUGGUCUCAUUUGUCUGGGGUGAAAGCCUUGAGCUUAACUCAAGAAGUGCCCCAGAAACGGUGAGACUCGAGUCCUGGAGAGGGUCGUGGAAUUCCCGGUGUAGCGGUGAAAUGCGUAGAGAUCGGGAGGAACACCAAUUGCGAAGGCAGCUCGCUGGGACGUCACUGACGCUGAGACGCGAAAGCGUGGGGAGCAAACAGG